This 276-nucleotide long non-coding RNA is filed under the name Arachis ipaensis. Its description in RNAcentral is "long non-coding RNA (AIPA_LNC000242)". The record is from RNAcentral. Lineage: Eukaryota; Viridiplantae; Streptophyta; Magnoliopsida; Fabales; Fabaceae.
GAGUAGAGUGAGUGAGAGAGGACCCCAAACGAAAUGAUGCGCCAAACUUGAAGUUUAGUGUCAGCUGAAUUCACACUUGAGCUUUGUCUCAAAAUCUUCAUCAGUGUGGAGCAGUGAACGAAGAGGAGCACCACCAUGGCUGGUAUAACCACCAGCACCGCCUUCCCCUUCCACCACCUCCAUACUCGACCCUCUCCUCUUCUCUCUUUUUCUGAUUCCAAGCUCUUCGGUCUUCCUAUCUCCAAUCCCAACUCCCUCAAAUUCGACUCUCCUAUU